This 346-nucleotide unclassified non-coding RNA is filed under the name soil metagenome. Its description in RNAcentral is "partial contains 5.8S ribosomal RNA, internal transcribed spacer 2, and large subunit ribosomal RNA". The stretch from base 1 to 121 matches the Rfam family "5.8S ribosomal RNA", at positions 35 to 154 of the family's 154-position model. The record is from RNAcentral.
GAUGAAGAACGUAGCGAAAUGCGAUAAGUAAUGCGAAUUGCAGAAUUCCAGUGAGUCAUCGAGUCUUUGAACGCACAUUGCGCCCCCUGGUAUUCCGGGGGGCAUGCCUGUCCGAGCGUCAUUGCUGCCCUCAAGCACGGCUUGUGUGUUGGGCCUCCGUCCUCCUCCCGGGGGACGGGCCCGAAAGGCAGCGGCGGCACCGCGUCCGGUCCUCGAGCGUAUGGGGCUUCGUCACCCGCUCUUGUAGGCCCGGCCGGCGCUUGCCGACACAUCAAUCUUUUUUCCAGGUUGACCUCGGAUCAGGUAGGGAUACCCGCUGAACUUAAGCAUAUCAAUAAGCGGAGGA